Molecule: ribosomal RNA, 685 nt
Filed under: uncultured Pseudomonadota bacterium
Lineage: Bacteria; Pseudomonadati; Pseudomonadota
Description: bacterial SSU rRNA
Rfam family: Bacterial small subunit ribosomal RNA
Source: RNAcentral
UAACAGGAAACAGCUUGCUGUUUCGCUGACGAGUGGCGGACGGGUGAGUAAUGUCUGGGAAACUGCCUGAUGGAGGGGGAUAACUACUGGAAACGGUAGCUAAUACCGCAUAACGUCGCAAGACCAAAGAGGGGGACCUUCGGGCCUCUUGCCAUCGGAUGUGCCCAGAUGGGAUUAGCUAGUAGGUGGGGUAACGGCUCACCUAGGCGACGAUCCCUAGCUGGUCUGAGAGGAUGACCAGCCACACUGGAACUGAGACACGGUCCAGACUCCUACGGGAGGCAGCAGUGGGGAAUAUUGCACAAUGGGCGCAAGCCUGAUGCAGCCAUGCCGCGUGUAUGAAGAAGGCCUUCGGGUUGUAAAGUACUUUCAGCGGGGAGGAAGGGAGUAAAGUUAAUACCUUUGCUCAUUGACGUUACCCGCAGAAGAAGCACCGGCUAACUCCGUGCCAGCAGCCGCGGUAAUACGGAGGGUGCAAGCGUUAAUCGGAAUUACUGGGCGUAAAGCGCACGCAGGCGGUUUGUUAAGUCAGAUGUGAAAUCCCCGGGCUCAACCUGGGAACUGCAUCUGAUACUGGCAAGCUUGAGUCUCGUAGAGGGGGGUAGAAUUCCAGGUGUAGCGGUGAAAUGCGUAGAGAUCUGGAGGAAUACCGGUGGCGAAGGCGGCCCCCUGGACGAAGACUGAC